This 253-nucleotide ribosomal RNA is filed under the name uncultured bacterium. RNAcentral's name for it is "partial 16S ribosomal RNA". It matches the Rfam family "Bacterial small subunit ribosomal RNA", at positions 524 to 776 of the family's 1533-position model. The record is from RNAcentral.
UACGUAGGGUGCGAGCGUUAAUCGGAAUUACUGGGCGUAAAGCGUGCGCAGGCGGCUUUGUAAGUCAGAUGUGAAAGUCCCGGGCUCAACCUGGGAAUUGCAUUUGAAACUGCAAGGCUAGAGUGUGUCAGAGGGGGGUAGAAUUCCACGUGUAGCAGUGAAAUGCGUAGAGAUGUGGAGGAAUACCGAUGGCGAAGGCAGCCCCCUGGGAUAACACUGACGCUCAUGCACGAAAGCGUGGGGAGCAAACAGG